GUCCACGCCGUAAACGAUGGGCACUAGGUGUCGGAGGUGUCGACUCCUCCGGUGCCGAAGCUAACGCAUUAAGUGCCCCGCCUGGGGAGUACGGCCGCAAGGCUAAAACUCAAAGGAAUUGACGGGGACCCGCACAAGCAGCGGAGCAUGUGGUUCAAUUCGACGCAACGCGAAGAACCUUACCUGGGCUUGACAUGUAGGUGACAGCCGUGGAAACACGGUCUCCCUUCGGGGCACCUUCACAGGUGGUGCAUGGCUGUCGU
Molecule: ribosomal RNA, 263 nt
Filed under: uncultured bacterium
Lineage: Bacteria
Description: partial 16S ribosomal RNA
Rfam family: Bacterial small subunit ribosomal RNA
Source: RNAcentral